AUACAUAAGACAAAAAACCGGAACUAAAUCGAUCGAAAUGGAGAAUUCCCCUCUCUUUUCCUUUUUGUUGCCGCUGUUGAUUGCGAGGAGGAGAAAGAAGGGAUCGUAACACAGACCAGUUGUUUGUUCUUUGUUGUCUCCUUUCGCUCCCUGCUGCCGAGAAUCGAGAGGAAGGCGGAGGCAGAUCGGUCACCGGUGUGAUGGCGCCGAAGGUCGGGCUGCUACUGCCGGUGUCCGAUCGCAGGGGCGGCGAUGAUGGCGCCCUCCUCUUCAAGGGCUCCGCCAUGACCAUGCGAGGCGCCUUCGCCGCCCUAUCCUACAUGACCUGCGCCGAAUCAUCAGUGAUAUCAUGCAAAUCAUCAUGGCAAAAGCUGGCUACAAUGGAGUCUGUACGUCGAGUGAAUGUUCCAAUGUAUACCACCCUUAGGCGUACAACUGUUGUGUUUACAAUGAUUGUGGAGUAUCUACUAACAAGGCAAAAGUACACCCGCCAUGUUGUCGGCAGGUUGUGAUGCUACUUUCCUGUAUAUUGGCAUUUUUUUGAACACAAACUUGAAUUCUGCACUCACACAGACAAUGUGCGGCAAACUGAAGGAUCUCUUUACCAUCGGACUUGGCUAGCUGUUGUUUGGUGGGCUUCCUUUUGAUGUGCUGAGUGUCACCGGCCAAAUUCUUGGUUUUGUGGGCUCUGGCUUCUACGCAUACUGUAAAAUCAAGGGAAAGUAUAAUUUCAUACAGCUGAGCCAGAUAUAUGACAGGAUAAGCCACCGAUGGGGUCCUGGAUUUCACUCAUAUCUCACUUGUG
RNA transcript from Musa acuminata AAA Group (dessert banana), 805 nucleotides. It is a transcript of the gene named UDP-N-acetylglucosamine transporter UGNT1-like, with no coding region annotated. Lineage: Eukaryota; Viridiplantae; Streptophyta; Magnoliopsida; Zingiberales; Musaceae. The record is from RefSeq and is a predicted model, not a curated record. The transcript is spliced from 5 exons.